Molecule: small RNA, 174 nt
Filed under: Sphingopyxis sp.
Lineage: Bacteria; Pseudomonadati; Pseudomonadota; Alphaproteobacteria; Sphingomonadales; Sphingopyxidaceae
Description: Manganese sequence
Rfam family: Manganese Mn2+ riboswitch aptamer (yybP-ykoY)
About the family: This RNA was originally discovered in E. coli during a large scale screen and was named SraF. The family was later found to exist upstream of related families of protein genes in many bacteria, including the the yybP and ykoK genes in B. subtilis.
Source: RNAcentral
GCCGGGGUCAUCUGGGGAGUAGCCAGCCGUCCUUCGGGACGGGCCACCGUGUCAACAUACUCGGCCGAGAGGUCGUGGUGCGGUGGAAGCGGGGAACCGCUUGGGCGAGACCAAUGGCAUCGACCUUCGUCCGGGCCGGGCGGCGGGUUUGAUGUCAUUUGGAAUCGCGAAGUC